RNAcentral lists this ribosomal RNA (249 nucleotides) under Streptomyces sp. SID4937. RNAcentral describes it as "partial 23S ribosomal RNA". It matches the Rfam family "Bacterial large subunit ribosomal RNA", at positions 2683 to 2925 of the family's 2925-position model. The record is from RNAcentral. Lineage: Bacteria; Bacillati; Actinomycetota; Actinomycetes; Kitasatosporales; Streptomycetaceae.
ACGAGAGGACCGGGACGGACGAACCUCUGGUGUGCCAGUUGUCCUGCCAAGGGCAUGGCUGGUUGGCUACGUUCGGAAAGGAUAACCGCUGAAAGCAUCUAAGCGGGAAGCCUGCUUCGAGAUGAGUAUUCCCACCCUCUUGAGGGGUUAAGGCUCCCAGUAGACGACUGGGUUGAUAGGCCAGAUGUGGAAGCCCGGUAACGGGUGGAGCUGACUGGUACUAAUAGGCCGAGGGCUUGUCCUCAGUUG